UUUAAAUAUCAUUGACGUGACCGAUAAAGACAUCGAGUGAAUAAUUAUUCAAGAUGCAUUUUUUAAAGUCAUUUGUAGUUUCAAAUCAAAUUAUCAGACUAAAAUAUUUUCCCGUUGCGCUGCAAGGUAACAUUUGGAUGAUUCAUAUAUAAGUUUUUAGAUCUCUGACUUCAGGAAUGAUGAGCUCUACCAUUCAACUUUUUUCCGAUGAUGUCUACAAUUCAACCUUUUUUUCCGAUGAUGUCUGCAAUUUAACUUUUUUUUUUUUUUUAUUGUAGCGUUAUUUCCUUUGACUCGAAGGCAAAGGUCUCCUGCUGGUCUAGACAUCAUGACGUCAUCAAUGUAUACAAACACUAGGAGGAAAGUUUCAUUCUUCCUCUGUUUCAUGGAAAGCUUUUUAGUUUACCGGUAUUUUACAUUUUCAAAUUGAUCAUAACCUGCUACUGCAUCGGAUGAAAGACAAAGCGAUGUAUGUGAUACCAGAAGGUGAUCCAGUUAUUGUUGGAUUGAGGGAAAACUGAAGCUGCAAUGAAUUAUGAAAUACGUUCAAGGACAUUGCUGUGCGUGCGUGUUCUUCCUUACUUAUUUCAUUACGGGAGAAGAGCCUAGGUAGUCCCUGCUAUAUUUAAAUUACCAAAUGACCUUUUAAAUUGAUGCACAUUUUUGGCACACACAACGUUAUUUUGAACAUUGCUUCAUGUUUCAAUAGUUCAAUUGAACUUCUUGACAAAAGACCAAAAAAUAUGAUUAGAGUUACAUAUAAGAUAUAACAGAUUUAUUUCUGAAACUUAGAGUUUCACAAAGUUUCUCUUUAAUCGUUUCUCACAUGCUUUUUGUAUUCUUGAGAGAUAUUUCUUUAAGAUUAGUGAUGAAAGUUUAUUGCACUGUAAAAUAUUCUGAAUAUAUUUCACAUUUAUUCAUGCAUAUGUCAGUUAUUUUACAGAGACUAAGGUUUAUAUAAGGAGUACAGUCAACCUCUUGUAACAGCUGAAAUGUUUAUUGAAAGCCAACAAAUUGCUUCAAAACAGUUGUAGAAUUAGUUCUUAAAUGUUACAUUCCAUAUUUGAGUGAAGCAACUGCUGUGAAGUUUCCUUCAUAGAGAUAAUAAUUAUUUCUUACAAAAAGUUUGCUUCAUCCUGUACAAAACCGUGUAUUUCCUGUAUCUUAUGGUAGUAUAUCUCCAUACAUAACUUUUCAAGUCUAUAUUUAUUGUACACAGCUCCUCUUAUUACAAAGCAAGCUACAUUCAUACCCAUAAGGGGCUUUUCAUUAAUUAACAAUUGGCCUGCUCUAUGAGUUAGAACCUCUCCUGACCAAGGUCAUUGUGGUGUAAGGCCACAAGAAAGCUGAUUCUUGUUCUGUCAUUAAUAUUGGAUUAUUGCCCUUAAUCCCAAGUUAAAGACACCUAUAUACACUCCUCAAAAUCUCUUGUAUCAUUGCAUAAUACCUCAGGUGUUGGAUUCUACUAGCACCGCACUCCCUUGACUGCACAACCCAACUUUUACAACAGGUUAUAAGGUUCCCUGAAUAUCAACAAUAUAGCUAUAACAUAACCAUGGCAGUGUGGUUAGCAGGUUUGAAGCUGGACAGAGGAACAACUGAGUAAUUCUGUGAUCCAUUCAGGAGAGGAAAGUUUCAAAUAAGUUAUGUCUAUGGAUAAAAUGGUAAGUUUUAGUAUUAACUAUGUUGUAACUUUGUAUUUAAUUUUGAGAGAAUGUUUGUAAAGUAACUUAACUACAAGGAAUAGUGAUUGUUUAUGUUAUACAUUUUUUUUUUUUUUUUUUUUUUUUUUUAAUGGAUCUAUUUCUGAGGUAUUUGAAAAGUCUUUUACAAGGUGGUCCAGUUUUCAUCUUUCAGUUAAGUACAUUUUAUUUGUAUCAGAAUUAAAUAUCUAAUUUUCAUAUGUAUCUAAAUAUAAUGUAGAUUAAUUUAUCCAGUAUGUUUUCAUUACGUCAUAAAAGCAAAUUUCUACAGGUCCCAUCUUUCAUGUUAACUGUAUAUUACCCUUAUUACAGGCUUUUAAUGGGAAGAAUAGAUUUAGUAUCCUUUGUGCCAGAUAUGAUAAAUUUGUCUAGUUUCCUCUGUCAGAGGUGACCAACUGGAGGCUGGUUGGUCAAGCCUGGGGGGAGCCAUGCCCAAUUAAUGCAUCAUAUGUGCAGCUUCGAAUCUCCUAAUUUUUAUAAUGUUUUAUGACCAUGAUGACAGAGUUGCCAUUGUUUUUACAAUGAUGAAAUAAGGACUUACAGAUGUUAUUAUCUAACAUGAUGAAUUUGUCGUAUGAUCACAAAAUUGCAUUUUGCAGUAUUUGCAUAAAAAAUUAAUUUAGACUUUAGUCAGUCCAUACACACUACUGGCCAAAAUUAACUGGCCACUCUUGCACUUUCAGCUCAUUUCAAAAUUUUGGUUCUAUUACUUAGUAUAUUCAGAUGGAAACUUGAUAAGAUGAAGGAAAUAUAAUCAGAAAUAUGUUAAGAAAGAUAUUGCUUAAUAUUUGGGAGUUUUUAUCACCAGCUUCACUGUUUCUAUGAAUUUUUUUUUUUAAUCGCACAUAAAAUGCAAUAAGAAUCAUUGAAAGUUUCAUGUAGAUUACCGAGGAAAAGGCUUUGCUAUAAAAAAAAAUAUUUCUGUCUAGCCUUGCUUUAAUUGUGGUUUCUGUUACUUUGUUACUUCAAAUAAUCUGUACUUGACCAAUUUAUUGCAGUUUUCAUCACAUUUUCACCUGUUUUACCAAAAGUUCUUCAAAUAUUUUGGUGAGGUAAAUGAUUUUUCAAGCAAAUUAAUUUUGAAAUGUAACAUGAAGAUUUUUUUGCAUUCUAAUUACCCACAUAUCUUUGAAAAAACAGUAUUUGAUUACUUAGGCCCAAUUUAUGCAUGGCCCCUGUUCCUAGUUUGAGCACGGAAGACAGUUGUUGCUAUCUAUAAAGAAGGCUGCAGCUGCAAUAAAAUUGCUGAAAGUAUGACAGUAGCAAGGUCUACUGUGCAGGAGAUAUUUAAGAAGCACAAAGGAACAGAAACAGGGAAGGCAGAGGCAUGAAAAAGAAGACAACAGAAGGAGAGGACAGAGUCAUUAUAAGGGCUGCCCUAAAAGAUAGAAAGCGGGCAUCUAGCUCAGUAACCGAUGAGCUCAAGAAGAAUUUUGACAUAGACUUGAGUGGUUGAACAGCGAGAAGAAGAUUUCUGGAGAGUGGUUUAAUGUAUUGUAGGGCCAAGAAGAAGCCAGUGGUUUCAAUUGGGAAAAAGUCCUGUUGAGAGUAGAUUUUGCUUAAUAAGUGAUUAGCCUGUAUCAGGUAGAAGAAGAAAAGGAGAGGAAUAGCUUCCUGAAUGCCUGAAUCCCACAGGUAACUAUGGUGGUGGUAUCAUGGUCGGGCUGCAUUACUAGCAAAGGUGUUGGCUGAUUGUACAAAAUCAGUGGAACAGUUAACAGAGAGUAUUACUACUGUGCAGUUCUAUCUCUAAUCCACUAUUCUGAGGAUAGUGAAGCAGUUAUCCAGCAGGACAGUGCUCCCUGCCACACUGCAAAGAUUAAGAUCUGGGUAGCCAAACAUAAGCUGACAGUUUUGGAAAGCCUGGUAAUUGUUCUGAUAUGAACCCUAUUGACUAUAUUGCAAAGAAAAUUGAGUCUGCAGUGUUUAAAAACAAUUGGACAAGGUAAACAAAGAUUGAAACAACAUUCAAAUUAAAUUUAUAACUUAGGUUGUAUGAGAGUAUGGAACAGAGUAUCGAAGCAGUGAUAAAGGCAAAAGGAGGCUCUACCAGAUAUUAGAGCAAUUGAUUUAUGUAAAAGAUGUUUACAUAGCAUAUAAAUGCUCUCAUUAACUUCUUUAAUCAUUCAGUGUAAGUCUCUGGUUAUAAAUUCAUCAGUGAUUUUGAAAAUGUGUGAUUUUCUUAAAUAAAACCAAGAAAAAAGCUUUCCUGGGAAGGGCAGCUGGUUAAUAUUAGCCAUUAGUGUAACUCUUCAAUACCAGAACAUUAUUUUGUGUGGAUAAGCAAAAUAUAUGUGGUCCAUAAACAGUCUUUAUGUUCUUCCAUUAGGAAAUAAAUUAUGAAAGGAAA
Long non-coding RNA from Penaeus chinensis, 4053 nucleotides. RefSeq lists it as uncharacterized. The transcript is spliced from 2 exons. The record is from RefSeq and is a predicted model, not a curated record. NCBI's taxonomy places the organism in Eukaryota, Metazoa, Arthropoda, Malacostraca, Decapoda, Penaeidae.